UUUUUUUAAAAUAUACUGCAGUGCCAACAAAGAAUGUGCAAUGACAAGAAAUGAGUUAUUGUUUGAAAAUCAAAAAUGUUAAAUGUUCACAUUGUUUUUAUUUGAACAGCAAUUUUCAGAUCUCAGGACAAGUUUUCUUUGGAACACAUUAUAAAUUUUUGUUUUUCAAAUGAUUUCAACUGACAUAAACAAGACUGGAAAGGUCGAAAUUACCAAAAUGCUAAUUUCACUAUUAUUGGUUCUUUUGUCGUGCCCAGCUCUUAAUGAUGGAAAACCCUGUAUCACAGUAACAUUCCUUUAAAUGAACUGGAGAAGUCUUGAUUACAAUAAUCAUAUUGCUUUUUACUUUUCAACACUAUUGGAUCUUGUGUCAUACCAGCUUUAGAUGGUGGAUGGAGUAUAUGGAGGUGUUAAGAAUUGCACAAGAGGUGUUCCUGCUACCUCUCUAUAUGUAGACAAUGUCACUGUUGUUGUGACGUUCUUAUUUCUAAGCCUUAAUUUAUGUCCGUUACAACGCCCUUAGGGAGGAAAAACUACACCCUCAAAUGGACUGUAGAAGUCCAGAUUACAAUAAUGGUACUUUCAGCACCAUUGCACGGUUUGGUUGUCUUGCCCAGCUCUUAAUGGUCCAAAAUGCUGUACAAUGGAUUAUGUUUUAAAAAUUGAAGAUAAAAGAUUAAGUUUUGAAUAUCUUCUUUUUUUCUCUGAAGAUGGCAAAUCAAAUUAUUAAUUCACGAGCUCUAGAUAAUAAAAAUAUCAGGUGUUAAAGUUUGGAGGUAUAAACAAGUCAUUCUCAAUCAAAAUAUUGCAAAAUUGUAAUGUUAGUGGAUUUUCUCAUUGUUGAAGCCCAUACAGUAACCUAUUUUACAUUAACAUCAUUUGGUCUCUGUAGGAUAGUUGUCUCACAUCUCUUGAUAUCACAACAAAUCAAUUUGUAGGUUCUAUAAAGUGGGCCAAUGGUGAAGGUAGGGGAAAUUUUGACUGUCAAUCGAGGAGGAAAUUAUUGGACAGAAAUUUGGCCUAACGCAACAAGCCAAGUCCUACUAACACCUCAAAAGAGUUGUGACAAGGGUUCUUCAACGUGCAGAGUUGCACUGUCCCUACAGAAAGGACCUAUACUUUUUAAACUGCCAUUCCAAUUUUUUUUGUUUUAAAUAUGAGAACUUUAGAAGACUUAAAGGUGGGGGUCAUAAAAAUAUCAAAAUUAUCCCACCCUCAAUGUUUAUUAUCUAGAACUAUGUUUUCUAUUUUGCUUUCAUAUUAUUUUUUGGUAUUUUCUUUUUUAUAUUUUUUUUUCUUUUUUUUUUUACAAAGCUCUAGAUAAUAAAAAUAUCAGAUGUUAAAGUUUGGAGGUAUAAACAAGUCAUUCUAAAUCAGAAUAUUGCAAAAUUUUAAUGUUAGUGGAUUUUCUCAUUGUUGAAGCCCAUACAGUAACCUAUUUUACAUUAACAUCAUUUGGUCUCUGUAGGAUAGUUGUCUCACAUCUCUUGAUAUCACAACAAAUCAAUUUGUAGGUUCUAUAAAGUGGUCCAAUCCUAUGGUGAAGGGAGGGGGAAUUUUGACUGCCAACCGAAGAGGAUAUUUUUGGACAGAAAUUUAGCCUAUUAAUGCAACAAGCCACAUCCUACUGACACCUCAAAAGAGUUGUGACAAGGGUUCUUUAACGUGCAGAGUGGCACUGUCUGUCCCUACAAAUAGGACCUAUACUUUCCCGCUACCUCUAUGUGUAGACAACAUCACUGUUGUGACAUUCUUAUUUCUAAGCCUUAAUUUAUGUCCGUUACAACGCCCUUAGGGAGGAAAUAGUAGCAGAUAUUACUACACCCUCAAAUGGAUUGUAGAAGUCCAGUUUACAAUAAUGGUACUUUCAGCACCAUAACCCGCUUUGGUUGUCUUGUCCAGCUCUUAAUGGUCCAAAAUGCUGUACAAUGGAUUAUGAUUUAAAAAUUGAAGAUAAAAGAUUAAGUUUUGAAUAUAUCUACUUUUUUUCUUUGAAGAUGGCAAAUCAAAUUAUUAAUUCAUUAAAAAUUCAGAAUAACUCAAAUCUUUACACCACACAAACGCGCCAACAAAGAAUGUGCAAUGAAAAGAAUUGAGUUAUUGUUUGAAACAUCAAAAAUGUUAAAGUUUCACGCAUUGUUUUUUAUUUGAACAGCAAUUUUCAGAUCUCAGGACAAGUUUUCUUUGGAACACACUCAGGACAAGUUAUCUUUGGAAGACAUUAUAAAUUUCUGUUUUGCAAAAGAUUAAAAGUUUUGGAUACUUUCUUUUUUUCUUUGAAGAUAACAAAUCUAAUUAUUAAUUCAUUAAAAAUUCAGACUAACCCAAUUGUUUACACCACACAAACUUUCCGGAUAACAUAUUUAUUUUUUGUCCAUUCUUUUUUCUUUCUUUUUUUAAAAUAUACUGCAGUGCCAACAAAGAAUGUGCAAUGACAAGAAAUGAGUUAUUGUUUGAAAAUCAAAAAUGUUAAAUGUUCACAUUGUUUUUAUUUGAACAGCAAUUUUCAGAUCUCAGGACAAGUUUUCUUUGGAACACAUUAUAAAUUUUUGUUUUUCAAAUGAUUUCAACUGACAUAAACAAGACUGGAAAGGUCGAAAUUACCAAAAUGCUAAUUUCACUAUUAUUGGUUCUUUUGUCGUGCCCAGCUCUUAAUGAUGGAAAACCCUGUAUCACAGUAACAUUCCUUUAAAUGAACUGGAGAAGUCUUGAUUACAAUAAUCAUAUUGCUUUUUACUUUUCAACACUAUUGGAUCUUGUGUCAUACCAGCUUUAGAUGGUGGAUGGAGUAUAUGGAGGUGUUAAGAAUUGCACAAGAGGUGUUCCUGCUACCUCUCUAUAUGUAGACAACGUCACUGUUGUUGUGACGUUCUUAUUUCUAAGCCUUAAUUUAUGUCCGUUACAACGCCCUUAGGGAGGAAAACUACACCCUCAAAUGGACUGUAGAAGUCCAGAUUACAAUAAUGGUACUUUCAGCACCAUUGCACGGUUUGGUUGUCUUGCCCAGCUCUUAAUGGUCCAAAAUGCUGUACAAUGGAUUAUGUUUUAAAAAUUGAAGAUAAAAGAUUAAGUUUUGAAUAUCUUCUUUUUUUCUCUGAAGAUGGCAAAUCAAAUUAUUAAUUCACGAGCUCUAGAUAAUAAAAAUAUC
Molecule: long non-coding RNA, 3148 nt
Filed under: Mytilus galloprovincialis (Mediterranean mussel)
Lineage: Eukaryota; Metazoa; Mollusca; Bivalvia; Mytilida; Mytilidae
Source: RNAcentral